RNAcentral lists this ribosomal RNA (384 nucleotides) under uncultured bacterium. Its description in RNAcentral is "bacterial SSU rRNA". It matches the Rfam family "Bacterial small subunit ribosomal RNA", at positions 43 to 455 of the family's 1533-position model. The record is from RNAcentral.
CAGGCCUAACACAUGCAAGUCGAACGAAGGCUUCGGCCUUAGUGGCGCACGGGUGCGUAACGCGUGGGAAUCUGCCCUUGGGUUCGGAAUAACAGUUAGAAAUGACUGCUAAUACCGGAUGACGACGUAAGUCCAAAGAUUUAUCGCCGAGGGAUGAGCCCGCGUAGGAUUAGCUAGUUGGUGUGGUAAAGGCGCACCAAGGCGACGAUCCUUAGCUGGUCUGAGAGGAUGAUCAGCCACACUGGGACUGAGACACGGCCCAGACUCCUACGGGAGGCAGCAGUGGGGAAUAUUGGACAAUGGGCGAAAGCCUGAUCCAGCAAUGCCGCGUGAGUGAUGAAGGCCUUAGGGUUGUAAAGCUCUUUUACCCGGGAUGAUAAUGAC